This 263-nucleotide ribosomal RNA is filed under the name uncultured bacterium. Its description in RNAcentral is "partial 16S ribosomal RNA". It matches the Rfam family "Bacterial small subunit ribosomal RNA", at positions 524 to 786 of the family's 1533-position model. The record is from RNAcentral.
UACGUAGGUGGCAAGCGUUGUCCGGAAUUACUGGGCGUAAAGGGCGUGUAGGCGGGAUGGCAAGUCAGAUGUGAAAUUCCGGGGCUUAACUCCGGCGCUGCAUCUGAAACUGCUGUUCUUGAGUACUGGAGAGGAAAGUGGAAUUCCUAGUGUAGCGGUGAAAUGCGUAGAGAUUAGGAGGAACACCAGUGGCGAAGGCGGCUUUCUGGACAGUAACUGACGCUGAGGCGCGAAAGCGUGGGGAGCAAACAGGAUUAGAUACC